RNAcentral lists this ribosomal RNA (256 nucleotides) under Xanthomonas citri pv. citri. RNAcentral describes it as "partial 16S ribosomal RNA". It matches the Rfam family "Bacterial small subunit ribosomal RNA", at positions 40 to 294 of the family's 1533-position model. The record is from RNAcentral. Lineage: Bacteria; Pseudomonadati; Pseudomonadota; Gammaproteobacteria; Lysobacterales; Lysobacteraceae.
CGGCAGGCCUAACACAUGCAAGUCGAGCGGUAGCACAGAGAGCUUGCUCUCGGGUGACGAGCGGCGGACGGGUGAGUAAUGUCUGGGAAACUGCCUGAUGGAGGGGGAUAACUACUGGAAACGGUAGCUAAUACCGCAUAACGUCGCAAGACCAAAGUGGGGGACCUUCGGGCCUCAUGCCAUCAGAUGUGCCCAGAUGGGAUUAGCUGGUAGGUGGGGUAACGGCUCACCUAGGCGACGAUCCCUAGCUGGUCUG